This 433-nucleotide ribosomal RNA is filed under the name uncultured bacterium. RNAcentral's name for it is "partial 16S ribosomal RNA". It matches the Rfam family "Bacterial small subunit ribosomal RNA", at positions 29 to 507 of the family's 1533-position model. The record is from RNAcentral.
AACGAACGCUGGCGGCAUGCCUAACACAUGCAAGUCGAACGAGACCUUCGGGUCUUGUGGCGCACGGGGGCGUAACACGGGGGAACCUGCCCUUAGGUUCCGAAUAACUCCCCGUAAGGGGAGCUAAUACCGGAUGAUGUCAUCGGGGCAACGAUUUAUCGCUUUUGGGUGGGGGCGCGUUGGUUUCGGUGGUUGGUAGGGUAAUAGCAUACCAACGGGACGAUGCAUGGCUGGUCUGAUAGCAUGAUCAGCCACACUGGGACUGAGACACGGCCCAGACUCCUACGGGAGGCAGCAGUGGGUAGUAUUGGACGAUGGGCGAAAGCCUGAUCCAGCAAUGCCGCGUGAGUGAUGCAGGCCUUAGUGUUGUAAAGCUGUUUUACACGGGAUGAGAAUGACAGUACCGGGAGAAUAAGCUCCGGCUAACUCCGUG